Molecule: long non-coding RNA, 253 nt
Organism: Dermochelys coriacea (leatherback sea turtle)
Lineage: Eukaryota; Metazoa; Chordata; Testudines; Dermochelyidae
Exons: 3
Source: RefSeq, a predicted model, not a curated record
AUAUGACACUCCUGUUAAUACAUCCCAGAAUGAUACUAGCUUUUUUCACAACUACAUCACAUUGUUAGCUCAUAUUCAAUUUGUGAUCCACGAUAAUACUCGGAUCCCUUUCAGCAGUACAACCGCCUAGCCACUUACUCCCUAUUUUGUAGUUGUGCAUUUGAUUUUUCCUCCCUAAGUGGAGUACUUUGCACUUGCCUUUGUUGAAUUUCAUCUUGUUGAUUUCAGAUCAAAACACUGAUUUUACAAGGUC